GAUGAACGCUAGCGGCAGGCUUAACACAUGCAAGUCGAGGGGUAGAAGUCUUCGGGCUUUGAGACCGGCGCACGGGUGCGUAACGCGUAUGCAAUCUACCUUUUACAGAGGGAUAGCCCAGAGAAAAUUUGGAUUAAUACCUCAUAGUAUAAUGACCUGGCAUCAGGAUGUUAUUAAAGUCACAACGGUAAAAGAUGAGC
This 200-nucleotide ribosomal RNA is filed under the name uncultured bacterium. RNAcentral describes it as "partial 16S ribosomal RNA". It matches the Rfam family "Bacterial small subunit ribosomal RNA", at positions 28 to 230 of the family's 1533-position model. The record is from RNAcentral.